This 468-nucleotide ribosomal RNA is filed under the name uncultured bacterium. RNAcentral's name for it is "partial 16S ribosomal RNA". It matches the Rfam family "Bacterial small subunit ribosomal RNA", at positions 28 to 507 of the family's 1533-position model. The record is from RNAcentral.
GACGAACGCUGGCGGCGUGCUUAACACAUGCAAGUCGAACGGAAAGGCCCUGCUUUUGUGGGGUGCUCGAGUGGCGAACGGGUGAGUAACACGUGAGUAACCUGCCCUUGACUUUGGGAUAACUUCAGGAAACUGGGGCUAAUACCGGAUAGGAGCUCCUGCUGCAUGGUGGGGGUUGGAAAGUUUCGGCGGUUGGGGAUGGACUCGCGGCUUAUCAGCUUGUUGGUGGUGUAGUGGCUUACCAAGGCUUUGACGGGUAGCCGGCCUGGGAGGGUGACCGGCCACAUUGGGACUGGGAUACGGCCCAGACUCCUACGGGAGGCAGCAGUGGGGAAUAUUGCACAAUGGGCGGAAGCCUGAUGCAGCAACGCCGCGUGCGGGAUGACGGCCUUCGGGUUGUAAACCGCUUUCGCCUGUGACGAAGCGUGAGUGACGGUAAUGGGUAAAGAAGCACCGGCUAACUACGUG